MicroRNA precursor from Dipodomys ordii (Ord's kangaroo rat), 86 nucleotides. Ensembl annotates it as microRNA 192. Its record names the gene Mir192. Lineage: Eukaryota; Metazoa; Chordata; Mammalia; Rodentia; Heteromyidae. The record is from Ensembl.
GUGCACAAGGCUCUGACCUAUGAAUUGACAGCCAGUGCGCUGUCUCCCCCUGGCUGCCAAUUCCAUAGGUCACAGGUAUGUUCGCC